UGUUCUCGCGGACGAACAGGGUGUAGGAGGUUUGGGUGAAGGCGGGGGCGUUGUCAUUGACGUCAGAGACCAGCACGGUUAUGUUGUACUCGGUUUUCAGCCUGGGUGUCCCCAAGUCUGUGACGGUGAUCGUGAUGUUGUACUCGGCUUGGCUCUCUCUGUCCAGUGCUUUUUCAGAAACUAGAGUGAAAAAGUUCUUGAAGGUCGGUUUCAGGAAAAAAGGGAGGUUAUCUUGAAUAGAGCAAAUCAUCCUCCCAUUGUCUCCAGAGUCUUGGUCUAGGAUACUAAAAAGAGCUACUAGGGUCUCUGAGGCAUUCUCUGGAAUUCUCUUUGUAAUCGACGAUAUGGUCACUUCUGGUGGGUUGUCGUUUAUAUCCAUAACUUUAACUAGAAGGGUGCAUUUUCCUGAAAGACCCCCACCAUCUGUUGCCUGAAUAUUUAUAGUGUAGGACUGUAUUACUUCAAAAUCCAGGGGUGAUCUCAAAUUAACUUCCCCAGAUAUUGGAUUAAUUUCAAAUGUUUUACGAAUAUCUUCCGAUGCAUGGAAAAAUGUGUAAGAUAUUUUUCCAUAGUUUCCUGCAUCCAGAUCCUUAGCUGAGAUGGUGGCAAUCCAGGAGCCAAGGGGUCUGUCCUCAGGGACUUGCACCUCAUAGAGACUCUGAGGAAACUCAGGAGCAUUAUCAUUGAUGUCCAACACCUUGAUGAGAACCAAAGUUGUCCCAGACUUGGGCGGGGAUCCACCAUCCACUGCUGUGAGUGUUAAUCUGAGUUCAGCUUCCUGUUCAUAAUCUAAAGCUCUAUCUAGGACCAGCUCUGGGUAUAUCUUUCUGUCACUACUGUCUGGAAUUUUAAUGUAGAAGUGAGAAUUGGGGCUAAUUGUGUAGUUUUGGAGACUGUUGCUUCCGACAUCCAAAUCUUGAGCACUCUCCAUUAGAAAUGUAGCUCCAACAGUGGUACCUUCUGAUAUUUUAAUAAGUAUUUCCUUGUCUAGGAAUGUAGGGGAGUGAUCAUUUAUGUCUUUGACACGCAGCUCAACCCGAAAAAACUGUAAAGGGUUUUCCAAAACCACCUGAAAAUGCAGCACACAGGGCUCGGUGGAGCCACACAGCUCGUCUCGGUCUAGUUUCUCAUUUAGGAGCAAAUUCCCAGUCAGCAAAUCAAGGUGCAAAUACUUUUUAUUAUCAUCAGACACUACCCGGGCUUCACGUGAAGACAGCUCCUCCACCCCCAGCCCUAGGUCCCUCGCUAGAUUAGCCACAAAAGAGCCAAUUUCUGUUUCCUCUGCCACAGAAUAGUGUGCAGAUUCAGUACCUGCCCGAGACAAUCCCAGCAAAACAAGGAAUAUUAGAACUUGCCUUUUUCGCAGAUCGAGUGCCCCUCUGAUCUCCAUGGUUCCUUUAGGCAAUCUCUUGUGGAAAAAUUGAAGCUCAGCCGUAAUUUCGGAAGCUGAAGCUCUGGUUUUUAACAGGAACCCCCUGGAGAGUGUAUCCUCCAGCAGCUCUGUAGGCGAAGCUCCUUUAAUGCCUGUCUUUUCAGUGGGUUGGAUGCUUUCUGUUCUCCUGAAUAGCGAAGCUCACCGUGCCAGCCUAUGUACCGUUUUCGUCUUAUCCUGUAGCGCCACCAUGUGUCUCCAUGUUUUUUUUUUUCAUUAAAAAAGUUUUCCUCUUUGAAAAAGU
This 1676-nucleotide long non-coding RNA is filed under the name Pan troglodytes (chimpanzee). RNAcentral describes it as "long non-coding RNA NONPTRT014271". The record is from RNAcentral. Lineage: Eukaryota; Metazoa; Chordata; Mammalia; Primates; Hominidae.